Molecule: ribosomal RNA, 318 nt
Filed under: uncultured bacterium
Lineage: Bacteria
Description: bacterial SSU rRNA
Rfam family: Bacterial small subunit ribosomal RNA
Source: RNAcentral
UCAGGCCUAACACAUGCAAGUCGAACGGUAGAGGGGCAACCCUAAAAAGUGGCGAACGGGUGAGUAAUGCAUCGGAACGUGCCCAGUCGUGGGGGAUAACUAUCCGAAAGGAUAGCUAAUACCGCAUACGAUCUGUGGAUGAAAGCGGGGGACCGGAAGGCCUCGCGCGAUUGGAGCGGCCGAUGUCAGAUUAGGUAGUUGGUGGGGUGAAGGCCUACCAAGCCGACGAUCUGUAACUGGUCUGAGAGGACGACCAGUCACACUGGGAGGGAGGCACGGCCCAGACUCCUGCGGGAGGCAGCAGUGGGGAAUUUUGGA